This 467-nucleotide ribosomal RNA is filed under the name uncultured bacterium. RNAcentral describes it as "partial 16S ribosomal RNA". It matches the Rfam family "Bacterial small subunit ribosomal RNA", at positions 28 to 507 of the family's 1533-position model. The record is from RNAcentral.
GACGAACGCUGGCGGCGUGCUUAACACAUGCAAGUCGAACGGAAAGGCCCCGCUCGGGGGGUACUCUCGAGGGGAAAGGGUGAGUAACACAUGUGUAACAUGCCCUUGAGUUUUGGGUAACAUCAGGAGAAACGGGGGAAAACCGGAGAGAAGCUCCUGCGCCGCGGGGGGGGGGGUAGAGAGUCGGGGGUUGGGGGUGGAGUCUCGGCUUAUCUGCGUGUUUGUGGGGUAGUGGCUUACCAAGGCUUUGACGGGUGGCCGGCCUGAGAGGGGGACCCGCCACAUUGGGACCUAGAUACGGCCCAGACUCCUACGGGGGGCAGCAGUGGGGAAUAUUGCCCAAUGGGUGGGAGCCUGAUGCAGCAACGCCGUGUGCGGGAUGACGGCCUUCGGGUUGUAAACCGCUUUCGCCCAUGACGAAGCUUUGUGUGACGGUAGUGGGUAAAGAAGCACCGGCUAACUACGUG